RNAcentral lists this ribosomal RNA (392 nucleotides) under uncultured bacterium. Its description in RNAcentral is "partial 16S ribosomal RNA". It matches the Rfam family "Bacterial small subunit ribosomal RNA", at positions 523 to 918 of the family's 1533-position model. The record is from RNAcentral.
AUACGUAGGUGGCAAGCGUUAUCCGGAAUUAUUGGGCGUAACGAGGGAGCAGGCGGCAGCAAGGGUCUGUGGUGAAAGCCUGAAGAUUACCUUCAGUAAGCCAUAGAAACCAGGCAGCUAGAGUGCAGGAGAGGAUCGUGGAAUUCAAUGUGCAGAGGUGAGAUGCGUAAAUAUAUGGAGGAACAACAGUGGCGAAGGCGGCGGUCUGGCCUGCAACUGACGCGCAGUCCCGAAAGCGUGGGGAGCAAAUAGGAUUAGAUACCCUAGUAGUCCACGCCGUAAACGAUGAGUACUAAGUGUUGGAUGUCAAAGUUCAGUGCUGCAGUUAACGCAAUAAGUACUCCGGCUGAGCAGUACGUUCGCAAGAAUGAAACUCAAAUGAAUUGACGGGG